ACUGCGAAUACCGGAGAAUGUUAUCACGGGAGACACACGGCGGGUGCUAACGUCCGUCGUGAAGAGGGAAACAACCCAGACCGCCAGCUAAGGUCCCAAAGUCAUGGUUAAGUGGGAAACGAUGUGGGAAGGCCCAGACAGCCAGGAUGUUGGCUUAGAAGCAGCCAUCAUUUAAAGAAAGCGUAAUAGCUCACUGGUCGAGUCGGCCUGCGCGGAAGAUGUAACGGGGCUAAACCAUGCACCGAAGCUGCGGCAGCGACGCUUAUGCGUUGUUGGGUAGGGGAGCGUUCUGUAAGCCUGCGAAGGUGUGCUGUGAGGCAUGCUGGAGGUAUCAGAAGUGCGAAUGCUGACAUAAGUAACGAUAAAGCGGGUGAAAAGCCCGCUCGCCGGAAGACCAAGGGUUCCUGUCCAACGUUAAUCGGGGCAGGGUGAGUCGACCCCUAAGGCGAGGCCGAAAGGCGUAGUCGAUGGGAAACAGGUUAAUAUUCCUGUACUUGGUGUUACUGCGAAGGGGGGACGGAGAAGGCUAUGUUGGCCGGGCGACGGUUGUCCCGGUUUAAGCGUGUAGGCUGGUUUUCCAGGCAAAUCCGGAAAAUCAAGGCUGAGGCGUGAUGACGAGGCACUACGGUGCUGAAGCAACAAAUGCCAUGCUUCCAGGAAAAGCCUCUAAGCAUCAGGUAACAUCAAAUCGUACCCCAAACCGACACAGGUGGUCAGGUAGAGAAUACCAAGGCGCUUGAGAGAACUCGGGUGAAGGAACUAGGCAAAAUGGUGCCGUAACUUCGGGAGAAGGCACGCUGAUAUGUAGGUGAAGCGACUUGCUCGUGGAGCUGAAAUCAGUCGAAGAUACCAGCUGGCUGCAACUGUUUAUUAAAAACACAGCACUGUGCAAACACGAAAGUGGACGUAUACGGUGUGACGCCUGCCCGGUGCCGGAAGGUUAAUUGAUGGGGUCAGCGCAAGCGAAGCUCUUGAUCGAAGCCCCGGUAAACGGCGGCCGUAACUAUAACGGUCCUAAGGUAGCGAAAUUCCUUGUCGGGUAAGUUCCGACCUGCACGAAUGGCGUAAUGAUGGCCAGGCUGUCUCCACCCGAGACUCAGUGAAAUUGAACUCGCUGUGAAGAUGCAGUGUACCCGCGGCAAGACGGAAAGACCCCGUGAACCUUUACUAUAGCUUGACACUGAACAUUGAGCCUUGAUGUGUAGGAUAGGUGGGAGGCUUUGAAGUGUGGACGCCAGUCUGCAUGGAGCCGACCUUGAAAUACCACCCUUUAAUGUUUGAUGUUCUAACGUUGACCCGUAAUCCGGGUUGCGGACAGUGUCUGGUGGGUAGUUUGACUGGGGCGGUCUCCUCCUAAAGAGUAACGGAGGAGCACGAAGGUUGGCUAAUCCUGGUCGGACAUCAGGAGGUUAGUGCAAUGGCAUAAGCCAGCUUGACUGCGAGCGUGACGGCGCGAGCAGGUGCGAAAGCAGGUCAUAGUGAUCCGGUGGUUCUGAAUGGAAGGGCCAUCGCUCAACGGAUAAAAGGUACUCCGGGGAUAACAGGCUGAUACCGCCCAAGAGUUCAUAUCGACGGCGGUGUUUGGCACCUCGAUGUCGGCUCAUCACAUCCUGGGGCUGAAGUAGGUCCCAAGGGUAUGGCUGUUCGCCAUUUAAAGUGGUACGCGAGCUGGGUUUAGAACGUCGUGAGACAGUUCGGUCCCUAUCUGCCGUGGGCGCUGGAGAACUGAGGGGGGCUGCUCCUAGUACGAGAGGACCGGAGUGGACGCAUCACUGGUGUUCGGGUUGUCAUGCCAAUGGCACUGCCCGGUAGCUAAAUGCGGAAGAGAUAAGUGCUGAAAGCAUCUAAGCACGAAACUUGCCCCGAGAUGAGUUCUCCCUGACUCCUUGAGAGUCCUGAAGGAACGUUGAAGACGACGACGUUGAU
Molecule: ribosomal RNA, 1926 nt
Filed under: Escherichia coli
Lineage: Bacteria; Pseudomonadati; Pseudomonadota; Gammaproteobacteria; Enterobacterales; Enterobacteriaceae
Description: partial 23S ribosomal RNA
Rfam family: Bacterial large subunit ribosomal RNA
Source: RNAcentral